This is a non-coding RNA of Azospirillum brasilense, 60 nucleotides long. NCBI's taxonomy places the organism in Bacteria, Pseudomonadati, Pseudomonadota, Alphaproteobacteria, Rhodospirillales, Azospirillaceae. The record is from Rfam.
GUUCGGGUCCGGGCCCCUCUGACGGCUGAGGCGUCAGCCGUGAUGUCGGAUACCGCUUGA